GCCUGGUGGGCUCAGUCGGUAGAGCAUGUGACUCUUGAUCUCAGAACUGUGAGUUCAAGCCCCACAUUGGGUG
This 73-nucleotide transfer RNA is filed under the name Ailuropoda melanoleuca (giant panda). It matches the Rfam family "tRNA". Rfam says of the family: Transfer RNA (tRNA) molecules are approximately 80 nucleotides in length. Their secondary structure includes four short double-helical elements and three loops (D, anti-codon, and T loops). The record is from Rfam by way of RNAcentral. Lineage: Eukaryota; Metazoa; Chordata; Mammalia; Carnivora; Ursidae.